Molecule: long non-coding RNA, 3449 nt
Filed under: Olea europaea subsp. europaea
Lineage: Eukaryota; Viridiplantae; Streptophyta; Magnoliopsida; Lamiales; Oleaceae
Source: RNAcentral
GUGUAAUAUCAUUUUAAUCAAAAAUGUGUGGUUAAAAAGAGAAAAAUAAAAUACAUUUUCAUAAAAAUGAGAAUGAAACAGGGUCUAAAGAUAAGCAUCAGGCAAGAAAGAAGCUGUCAAGUUGCAAUGGCACAGAACGCGGCAAAACGAAAACAAUUGGCCCUUGAAACUACGAACACCUUUGUCGUCUUCCCCACGUCACCUUCUGCUACAACUCUAAAUCGUCAAAACCGUGUGCUCUCUGUCCCAUCGAUUUCUUCUGAUACCAUCAAUCCUUUCAUCUACUUAUACAAACCCCUCACAAAUCUAUAUUUAGCAUUUUCAGCUCGAAUUUUUUUUCACAACAAAUUAUACAAAAUCAAAUCAAGAAUCGCCAAAAAUGUGUAGAGGAUUUCAACUGAACGAAAAAGAUCGCUUGAGACUCAAAGCAUUUUAUAUUCAUUUAUCAGUUUCAUGUACCCGAAAGAUUUUACCUGAUAUUUUGACGCUGCAUUAUCUUCCUCGGAUUAACGGAAGCCCUUUGGAGAUAAACGGGUCAGGUAUUAAACCCGAUUCGCCAGGUUUUGUCACGCUCCACAGGGUAUUAUUGGAGGAGAGCAAGGGGGUUGUUUAUGGAAGUAGAGAGAGCGUAAAGGCGUGUGAAGGAUUGAGAUUUGAGAUAUUUGUUGGGGAUGUAAAGGUGUUGAAAGGGACUUUUGGGAAAGACGAGGGAGAAAAUUGGAAAAUGGAGUGCAAAUGUUGUUUAAUGGAGAAUGAUGAUAUCAAGGUGAAGGAUGCUGAGAUAUGUGUCUCUGUGGAAGGUCAAGCAGCGGUGAUGAGAGAGAAGGUGGAGAUGGCAGUCGCACGGCGGCGGAGUCGCUCGACGUGUUGUCAAUUGGAGGAAAUUCCGGAGGAGAGAGAGGGAGAUUUUGAGCUUGAAUCAGACGGCUGCUGUGGUUGUUCUGAUUGUAAUGGCGACGGCAGCAAUAGCGGUGGCGAGAUGGAGGUGGAGAUGGAGGCGGACCAGGCGGUGGGAUGGGCCCUGGAUGUGGGGAUUUGGGCGAUGUGUCUUGGCGUUGGAUACUUCGUUUCAAGGGCUUCUUCAAAGAGAUUGCGUAGGAAGAGACCGAUAUAACAGGAUUUAGCCCCUUGUGGCCCUAUUUUUUUUGUAAUGAAAAUCGGUGGAGUAAUAUUUCUUUGAAAAAAUGGGUGAUUGAAAAAUGAGGAAAUUUUUUUAAAAAUAAGAGAGAAAAAUAAAAUGUACUAGAAUAUAAUUUAAUGGAGCCAAACGGGGCCUAGAUUACACUUAUAUAUGCAUUUUUCUUUUUCGUUUUUUUUUCUAAUUUCCAUUUUUAGUGUUCAAUCGUAUUUUUGUAUUUAUAGUAUUUACAAGAGAAUCUUCAAAUGUAAGAUUUUCCUUUUAUUGGAGAAACUUAAAUGCCUACAACUCAUUAUUAGGCAUUAAUAAGUAAGCACGUAGUGCAUGUUAUAUUAAAUGAGUCGAGUUAAGGUUUUAAUUUAUAUUUCUAUUAUAUUACUUUAUCAAAUCUUUAGUUAUUGCUUAAUGUUUGAGUAAUGUUAUUCGCAGUUACUCAUUAUAAUAGUCGUUCUAAAUAGCAUGCACAUGACAAAUAAUUAUUUAAUGUAUGAAUAUGAUGAUCGCUGUAGCGAGCAAUUCUUUAUUUUUACUAGAUAUCAAACUAAAGAGGGGUUAAUAGCACAAAACGUUCUUACGUUUAACAUUUAUUGCGGAAAACGUCCCUACGUUUCUUUUUUUUGCAUUUUCGUCUUUAUUUCAACGUUUCAUUACUAAAAACGUCGUUUUCAUCAUUUUUGAAUAUAAAAUAACCAAAAUACCCUCCUAUUUAAAUAAAACCAAAAUAAUAAUAAUAAUAAAGAAUAAAUUACAAUCUUACUCCUAAAGGUUUUAAAAAGUGCAAUUGAGUUCAAAUAAUUAUUAAAAAGCUUAAUCGCACAAAACGUCCCUAGGUUUGGUCUAUAGUGUGCAAAACAUUCCUACGUUUCAAAACGAUGAAAAUGACGUUUUUCGCAAUGAAAUGUAAAUCUAGUGAUGAAAAUGCAAAAAAAAUAAAAAUAAAAAUAAAAAAUAAAUUGAAACGUAUGGACCUUCUCGACAAGAAGUAUCAAAGGUAGGGACGUUUUUCGCAAGAAGUGUCAAACGUAGGGAUGUUUUGUGCCAUUAUACCUUAUUGAAAUUGAAACAAUUGCCAUAUGAAUGAACCUCCAUACCAUUUCCAAAAUACCAUCACCCAAACUCCGAUAGCCCCGCCUAUUUCGACGAGAUCUAUGUCAUUUUCAACACAACAAUCGACUAUACUCACCAGAUCGCUUCUAUUCAAGGUCUUUUCUUCUCCAAAUGGGACUGCCACCUUAGAUUAAAAAACUCCAACCAACCAUCGCCCAAACCGCCGAACCUCCAUACUAUCGAACCAUCUGUUAAUGUUUUAAGACCAUGAAAAGAAGCGCCCUGGUGAGUAUAGUCGAUUGAUGUAUUGGAAAUGACAUAGAUCUCUCCGGAGUAGGUGGUGUCGUCGGAGUUUGGGUGAUGGUAUUUUGGAAAUGAUAUAGAAGUUCAUCGAUUUGGCAAUGGUUUCAAUUACAAAUAAGGCCUUAUAGCACAAAACCUCCCUACGUUUGACACUUCUUGUAAAAAAAACGUCCCUACGUUUGACACUUCUUGCGGAAAACAUCCAUACGUUUCAAUUUUUCUUGCAUUUUCAUCCCCAUUUUCACGUUUUAUUGCAGAAAACGUCAUUUUCAUUAUUUUGAAACGUAGGGAUGUUUUGCAUAUUAUAGGCCAAACGUAGGGACGUUUUGUGCUAUUAGACAUUUUCAUAAUUAUUUGAACUCACUUGCACUUUUUAAAACAUUUAGGAGUAAGAUUGCAAUUUAUUCUUUAUUUUUCUUCUCUUUUUUUGUUUUAUUUAAAUAGGAGAGUAUUUUGAUCAUUUUAUAUUCAAAAAUGGUGAAAAUGACGUUUUUAGCAAUAAAACGUUGAAAUAAGGACGAAAAUGCAAAAAAAAAAAAAACAUAGGGACGUUUUCCGCAAUAAAUGUCAAACGCAGGGACGUUUUGUGUUAUUAACCCAACUAAAGAGCUAACAUGCUAACUAUUAGGGUAAAAAAAUCAUAUGUACCUAUAAUAAUUCAUUUUAUACUAUUAAAUUAAAUUCAAAUAAUAACACAGAACACUUCAAAAUCCCAUUACAAUCUCAAAAGUAUUGCAUAAUAAACUUUCCUUUUUGUAUAUGUAAAUGAAACUUUAGAUUAUACUUUUUAUAUAUGCCCUUUUUUUUUAUCUAACCAUUUUUACCGUUCAAUUUUUUUUAAAAAUAUUUUAGUAUCUAUAGUUUCAAAUGUACGAUCUUUAUACUGGGGAUACUUAUAGAUGAGACAAUUGAUUUUCAAUACCUAUAAUUCAUUUUUAGGCAUUUAUAAGUAAGCACGGAG